GUGCUGAGUUUCAUUUUCACUUCACUGAGCCUCAUGGCUUCCUGGUCUCUGAGCAUCCCACAGCAGCUCCUUCUCACUUCACAUGUGUGUAUCUUCCUUUGCCUUUGACUGUCUACGAGAGCUUUACAAUUCGUGUGGUUGUUGAUCUGUGGUGGGCUUUACUGUUCUGCCCUUUCAUGUGCCCGAGGCUGAGCUGCCAGGAUUCCUCUUGGUCUUGCUCUCCAUGCUUCUCACAGGGUCAGUGACAACAGGGAGGCAGCCACCUCCCUGAAGCCCACUUCCAGGGCCCAUUCUGGCCUGGAAAGGAGGGACACCUGGAGGACUCUCUUUCCAGGUUACCCCGUGGGUGACCACCUCUUUCCCUGGGUACCAGUGCAGCUUCCUGGAUUACAUAUGGGAGCCUGGCAGAACUUAGCCACAUGAGAAAGAGAUUCAUGGAACACACUGGGAGAAGGCAAGCCGCCCCUUCCCCACCCCACCCAGCCACAUCACGUGCUGGAUACCAGACCCUUACCUAGGGGCAGAGCAGAACCCUCCAGUUUGAGCCUGUGGCCCAGACCUCCUGAAAUGAUCCCAAGUCCCUCGUGAAAAGGCUCCAGAAAGUGAGGGACUAGGGCACCCAGAGGCAAGGAAAGGAACAGACAUGGCCUAGGGGCCUGCAGGAGGAGAGCAGUACUGGGAAGGGUUUGGGCCCCCCAGGGCUGUGCCACCAAAUUCACAUGAUCCCAGAGUACCGAGACUUGGACCACCAAGGUCUCUAGGCAGCAUCUAAGCUGGUCAUCAAGAUCUUCUGAGAUACAGCCUAUCCCCAGGGGCACGUUUCAGAACCAGGGUGAUGGAAUCCUAGCAACCACCUCUCCCAGGGGGGAAGUAGUCAAGAGGAGGCUACUACGGUCCUCAGGUAACCACCACAGCCAGAGGCUGGUGGCAUCAGGCCCAGCUGAGGAUGGAUGAGGUCAGGAAUGGGCAAAGCGCUGCAGAGGAGGCUGUGGCCCUGUGAAUGGCCAUGGCCCAGAUUGGCCCUGGGGCCUGAGUAGGUGGCCCUAGGCCAGCUCUGGCACAGCACACUCUGUCCCUCUUUGCCUAGCCCAAAGAACAACUCAAUCUGCUCCCAAGCAGGGGGUGGGAGUGGGUGCAGAAUUGUGGCCAACGGACCAGGACAAGUGUGGGUGGAUUCUGGGGUGGCCACUUAUGCUGGGCACACAGCGGAUCCUGACAGGCCGCUGAUACCCAGGACGCCACUGCCUAGGAUCGGCCUCCUCCACCCAGAUGGAGCUCCUGUGGAUAGGUCUCAUCUUGCUGGAGAUGAUGCAAACCCAGGCCCAAGGACCAAGAAGGCAUGGGGGGCUCCCUCAAGUCCCACACCCCAAUUUGCCUUUUCACAAGAUCUGUCUCCUGCCCAGUCAGGGGAAGGAGAGAGUGACUGUGAACUCAGGCCCAGCAGGCCCUGUUCCCAGGGGUAGGAGCCUGGAACGGAGAGCUCAGCCCAAUGCCAGCCCUACAUAGACUUCAUAUUCUCCUGUGGCCCUCGGGACCCUCCAGCCCAGAAGACCACCCAUCCGACUUGGCUGACCAUGGCAGACUCGGCCCCCACCACAUCCCAGCGAGACUUGUGCCCCUCCUCACAGGCGUUCAGCCUCAUCCGCCCCCAGCACAAAUAAACACCUGUCACA
This is a long non-coding RNA of Peromyscus californicus insignis, 1673 nucleotides long. RefSeq lists it as uncharacterized. Lineage: Eukaryota; Metazoa; Chordata; Mammalia; Rodentia; Cricetidae. The record is from RefSeq and is a predicted model, not a curated record. The transcript is spliced from 3 exons.